AGAGAGUAAGAGUGUAAAUCGAUUUUUAGGUGCAUUAAGAGCUUCAAAUUGGUUGUUCAUGGUGGUUGGUGUAUUCAUGGGAAUGACAAUAUUGUGAAUACUUGAGGAAGAUGAGGGCGAUAGAGUAAAAUAAGCAUUUUCAAAAAAGAAAAAAAAUGAUGGUAUUUUCGUGAAUAACCUGGACUCUGGGGGUGAAAGAGGCAAGUCAAAGUUCCAAAAAAAAAACAUGAGUAAGUUUUAUGUUUGACUUUAAGUUUUGAGUCAUAUUUGCAAAAAGCUCUUUUAUUAUAUGGUUAGUAUGAUUUUUUAAUAUAUUUUAAUAAUACAACAUUAAACAAAAAUAAUGGAGGAUAAGUAAAUUUUUUAUCAAACCUUUAUUAUUAAAAUCAUUAAUUGUCAAAUAUAUGUUUUAUUCACUUUUAGUAAUUCCGUAACUUUUAUUUAAGGAAAGAAUGAAAAAUAUUAAUUGUAGAUUUUUAAUUAAAUUUAUGGUUAGUUUAAUGAGAAGUAUAUAAUAUAUGUUUAGUGGACCAACAUAUAUCUCUAAAGACUUUGUGAAACAUUU
Molecule: long non-coding RNA, 565 nt
Filed under: Brassica napus (rape)
Lineage: Eukaryota; Viridiplantae; Streptophyta; Magnoliopsida; Brassicales; Brassicaceae
Description: long non-coding RNA (BNAP_LNC012181)
Source: RNAcentral